Molecule: ribosomal RNA, 249 nt
Filed under: uncultured bacterium
Lineage: Bacteria
Description: partial 16S ribosomal RNA
Rfam family: Bacterial small subunit ribosomal RNA
Source: RNAcentral
UCCUACGGGAGGCAGCAGUGAGGAAUAUUGGUCAAUGGGCGCGAGCCUGAACCAGCCAAGUCGCGUGAGGGAAGACGGUCCUAUGGAUUGUAAACCUCUUUUGUCGGGGAGCAAAAAACGCCACGUGUGGCGUUCCGAGAGUACCCGAAGAAAAAGCAUCGGCUAACUCCGUGCCAGCAGCCGCGGUAAUACGGAGGAUGCGAGCGUUAUCCGGAUUUAUUGGGUUUAAAGGGUGCGCAGGCGGAAGAU